RNAcentral lists this long non-coding RNA (1013 nucleotides) under Salmo salar (Atlantic salmon). RNAcentral's name for it is "lncRNA (ENSSSAG00000120865.1)". The record is from RNAcentral. Lineage: Eukaryota; Metazoa; Chordata; Actinopteri; Salmoniformes; Salmonidae.
GGUAGAAGCUGUUCAGCAGGUCUUAUGGCUAGCGGGUAGAAGCUGUUCAGCAGGUCUUAUGGCUAGCGGGUAGAAGCUGUUCGGCAGUCUUAUGGCUAGCGGGUAGAAGCUGUUCAGCAGGUCUUAUGGCUAGCGGGUAGAAGCUGUUCAGCAGUCUUAUGGCUAGCGGGUAGAAGCUGUUCAGCAGGUCUUAUGGCUAGCAGGUAGAAGCUGUUCAGCAGUCUUAUGGCUAGCGGGUAGAAGCUGUUCAGCAGUCUUAUGGCUAGCGGGUAGAAGCUGUUCAGCAGGUCUUACGGCUAGCAGGUAGAAGCUGUUCAGCAGUCUUAUGGCUAGCGGGUAGAAGCUGUUCAGCAGGUCUUACGGCUAGCAGGUAGAAGCUGUUCAGCAGUCUUAUGGCUUGGGGGUAAAAGCUGUUAUGGAGCCUUUUGGACCUAGACUUGGCGCUCCAGUACCGGUAGCAGAGAUAACAGUCUAUGACUUGGGUUGACCAUUUUUUGGGCUUCCCUCUGACACCGCCUAGUUUAGAGGUCCUGGAUGGAAGGAAGCUUGGCCCCAGUGAUGUAUGAUGUGAAUGGGGGUGUGUUCGGCCCUCCAUUUCCUGUUGUCCAUGAUCAGCUCCUUUGUCUUGAUCACAUUGAGGGAGAGGUUGUUGUCCUGGCAGUUUAGUCCCAGGGUCCUUAGCUUAGUGAUGAGCUUUGAGGCCACUAUGGUGUUGAAUGCUGGGCUGUAGUCAAUGAACAGCAUUCUCACAUAGGUGUUCCUAUUAUCCAGGUGGGAAAGGGCAGUGUGGAGUACAAUAGAGAUUGCGUCAUCUGUGGAUCUGUUGGAGCGGUGUGUGAAUUGGAGUGGGUCUAGGGUUUCCGGGAUGAUGGUGUUGAUGUGAGCCAUGACCAGCAUUUCAAAGCACUUCAUGGCUACAGAUGUGAGUGCUACGGGUCUGUAGUCAUUUAGGUAGAUGGUUACUGCUGUUCGUUUUAUUAACCAUUGAUAUGACGAUUUAAGUGGAGUAAGAG